Mirounga angustirostris (Northern elephant seal) is the source of this 1331-nucleotide long non-coding RNA. RefSeq lists it as uncharacterized. The record is from RefSeq and is a predicted model, not a curated record. The transcript is spliced from 5 exons. NCBI's taxonomy places the organism in Eukaryota, Metazoa, Chordata, Mammalia, Carnivora, Phocidae.
AUUAAUAGGUUAUCUUUACAUUAUUUGUCUGUUUUAAUUAUUUGCCUUUUUCUUGAGUCUUCAUGAAUAAUGGUACUGUGAGCCUGACCCUUUUAGAAAAAUGCUACACUACUGUAAUUAUAUUUUAGAGAUACAAUAUUAUGUGAAAAGUCACCUUGAUACUAUUCAGACAUAUUGUAUUAUGUCCGGGACGAAGAUCUUCGACGAAUGCAAACUUUCCUGACAUUACUCAUUACAUUUAGUGUAGCUAGGUUGGCUGUGUGCGUAUUUUUAGCUCCACUAGAUAAAUUAAAUUGGAUUGUGUUUUUUAUGUUUUUGCAUUUCCAGACCUUCAGGAUUUUCUGAAGUCCAAACUCUGCUUAUGUGGUAGCUUGAAAAUAUGUCUACAAAUUCUUUGGUAUUGCUUCCUGAAGAGGUUGAGUCUGAUUCCUCUCCCCUUGAGGGUGGGCUCUACUUAUGACUCACUUCUAACAAAUAGAACGUGACUAAGGUGAUGGUAUGUGACUUCCAAGACUAGGAGCUAGAAGUAUGGCCUCUCCUUGCUCUUCUUUGAUCACUCAUUCUCAGGGAAGCCAGCUGCCAUGUUGUGAGAACACUCAAAUAGCCCUAUGGGGAGGCCCACUCAGCAAGGCACAGAGGCCUCCUGCCGACAGCCAUGGAAGCAGAUCCAUCGGCCUCAGUCAAGCCUUCAGAUGACCGCAGCCUUGCCAAUGUCCUAACUACAAAAUCUCGAGAGACCGUGAGUUGGAAUCACCCAGGGAAAAGAUUAUAUAACCGAAAAUAUCAUAACGAAUGGAAGUAGGACACAGGAAAACCCCGUUGUCGAGAACAUUGCUGGUCCGAUAAUCAGAAGGUGCACUGUAACAGGACGCCCAGGAGAUUCGUGCGCAUGAUCAGGUCUGAGAAGCAGUGUUCGGAUUCAGGGGUCCUCAAAGUUGAAUGUUCAGCAGAAUCAGAAGAACGAAGGGUGACCUGUUGGACUGCAGAUCGCAGGGAGCACCCCCAGACUUUCUGAUCGAGGAGUGAUGCUAACUUCAUGGUGAGAAUGUGAAGACCUUUUGAAACGCCAAGCACCUGACCCAAGUCCCGUCACAGAAUACGCUCUUCAAAUUGGGGUCUGUAGACCAGCAGCACCAGCGUCCCCUGGGAGCUUGGAAGACCUGUGGUGUCUGCCCCCACCCCAGACCUGUGGCAGCAGACUCUGCAGCGUCACAAGAGCCUCAGCUGAGGAAGCUAAGCCCUCACAACCAAGGUGUGUGACUGGUGGAGCCAGCGGAAACCCAGGUCACUUGAUUCCAAAGCGCGACCUUUACCCACAACCGUGCAGCCCA